This 253-nucleotide ribosomal RNA is filed under the name uncultured bacterium. RNAcentral's name for it is "partial 16S ribosomal RNA". It matches the Rfam family "Bacterial small subunit ribosomal RNA", at positions 524 to 776 of the family's 1533-position model. The record is from RNAcentral.
UACGUAGGGGGCUAGCGUUGUUCGGAAUGAUUGGGCGUAAAGGGCGCGUAGGCGGUUCGGUCCGUCAGAUGUGAAAUUCCUGGGCUUAACCUGGGGGCUGCAUUUGAUACGUGUGGGCUUGAGUGCGGAAGAGGGUCGUGGAAUUCCCAGUGUAGAGGUGAAAUUCGUAGAUAUUGGGAAGAACACCGGUGGCGAAGGCGGGUCUCUGGGCCGAUACUGACGCUGAGGAGCGAAAGCGUGGGGAGCGAACAGG